ACGAACGCUGGCGGCGUGCUUAACACAUGCAAGUCGAACGAUGAAGAAAAGAAUUGAAGCUUCGGCAGAAAUUCAUUUCGGAUUAGUGGCAGACGGGUGAGUAACGCGUGAGCAACCUACCUCUUACAAAGGGAUAGCCUCGGGAAACCGGGAUUAAUACCAUAUAACAUUGCGACGAAGCAUUUCGAUGCAAUCAAAGCUACGGCGGUAAGAGAUGGGCUCGCGUCCCAUUAACCAGAUGGUGAGGUAACGGCUCACCAUAGUAACGAUGGGUAACCGGCCUGGGAGGGUGAACGGUCACACUGGAACUGAGACACGGUCCAGACUCCUACGGGAGGCAGCAGUGGGGAAUAUUGCACAAUGGAGGGAACUCUGAUGCAGCGACGCCGCGUGAGUGAUGAAGGAAUUCGUUUCGUAAAACUCUGUUCUAUGGGAAGAAAAGGACUGUACCAUAGGAGAAAGCUCCGGCUAAAUACGUG
This 479-nucleotide ribosomal RNA is filed under the name uncultured bacterium. RNAcentral's name for it is "partial 16S ribosomal RNA". It matches the Rfam family "Bacterial small subunit ribosomal RNA", at positions 29 to 507 of the family's 1533-position model. The record is from RNAcentral.